RNAcentral lists this unclassified non-coding RNA (307 nucleotides) under plant metagenome. RNAcentral describes it as "partial contains 5.8S ribosomal RNA, internal transcribed spacer 2, and large subunit ribosomal RNA". The stretch from base 1 to 105 matches the Rfam family "5.8S ribosomal RNA", at positions 50 to 154 of the family's 154-position model. The record is from RNAcentral.
GAAAUGCGAUAAGUAAUGUGAAUUGUAGAAUUCAGUGAAUCAUCGAAUCUUUGAACGCACAUUGCGCCCGCCAGCACUCUGGCGGGCAUGCCUGUUCGAGCGUCAUUUCAACCCUCAGAACCCCUUGCGGGAUCUGGCGUUGGGGAAUGGCAUCCAGCCAGCCCCGAAAUCUAGUGGCGGUCCCUCCGCGACCUCCCCUGUGCAGUAGCGAUACCUCGCAGCGGGACAGCGGUCUGACCACGCCGUAAAACCCCCAACUUCUCAAGGUUGACCUCGAAUCAGGUAGGAAUACCCGCUGAACUUAAGC